Molecule: ribosomal RNA, 1052 nt
Filed under: Lacticaseibacillus paracasei
Lineage: Bacteria; Bacillati; Bacillota; Bacilli; Lactobacillales; Lactobacillaceae
Description: bacterial SSU rRNA
Rfam family: Bacterial small subunit ribosomal RNA
Source: RNAcentral
CUUUUGGAUGGACCCGCGGCGUAUUAGCUAGUUGGUGAGGUAAUGGCUCACCAAGGCGAUGAUACGUAGCCGAACUGAGAGGUUGAUCGGCCACAUUGGGACUGAGACACGGCCCAAACUCCUACGGGAGGCAGCAGUAGGGAAUCUUCCACAAUGGACGCAAGUCUGAUGGAGCAACGCCGCGUGAGUGAAGAAGGCUUUCGGGUCGUAAAACUCUGUUGUUGGAGAAGAAUGGUCGGCAGAGUAACUGUUGUCGGCGUGACGGUAUCCAACCAGAAAGCCACGGCUAACUACGUGCCAGCAGCCGCGGUAAUACGUAGGUGGCAAGCGUUAUCCGGAUUUAUUGGGCGUAAAGCGAGCGCAGGCGGUUUUUUAAGUCUGAUGUGAAAGCCCUCGGCUUAACCGAGGAAGCGCAUCGGAAACUGGGAAACUUGAGUGCAGAAGAGGACAGUGGAACUCCAUGUGUAGCGGUGAAAUGCGUAGAUAUAUGGAAGAACACCAGUGGCGAAGGCGGCUGUCUGGUCUGUAACUGACGCUGAGGCUCGAAAGCAUGGGUAGCGAACAGGAUUAGAUACCCUGGUAGUCCAUGCCGUAAACGAUGAAUGCUAGGUGUUGGAGGGUUUCCGCCCUUCAGUGCCGCAGCUAACGCAUUAAGCAUUCCGCCUGGGGAGUACGACCGCAAGGUUGAAACUCAAAGGAAUUGACGGGGGCCCGCACAAGCGGUGGAGCAUGUGGUUUAAUUCGAAGCAACGCGAAGAACCUUACCAGGUCUUGACAUCUUUUGAUCACCUGAGAGAUCAGGUUUCCCCUUCGGGGGCAAAAUGACAGGUGGUGCAUGGUUGUCGUCAGCUCGUGUCGUGAGAUGUUGGGUUAAGUCCCGCAACGAGCGCAACCCUUAUGACUAGUUGCCAGCAUUUAGUUGGGCACUCUAGUAAGACUGCCGGUGACAAACCGGAGGAAGGUGGGGAUGACGUCAAAUCAUCAUGCCCCUUAUGACCUGGGCUACACACGUGCUACAAUGGAUGGUACAACGAGUUGCGAGACCGCGAGGU